CCUACGGGGUGCUGCAGUGGGGAAUAUUGGACAAUGGGCGAAAGCCUGAUCCAGCCAUGCCGCGUGUGUGAAGAAGGCCUUCGGGUUGUAAAGCACUUUCAGUGGGGAAGAAAGCCUUGGGGCUAAUACCCUCGAGGAAGGACAUCACCCACAGAAGAAGCACCGGCUAACUCCGUGCCAGCAGCCGCGGUAAUACGGAGGGUGCGAGCGUUAAUCGGAAUUACUGGGCGUAAAGCGCGCGUAGGCGGUCUGAUAAGCCGGUUGUGAAAGCCCCGGGCUCAACCUGGGAACGGCAUCCGGAACUGUCAGGCUAGAGUGCAGGAGAGGAAGGUAGAAUUCCCGGUGUAGCGGUGAAAUGCGUAGAGAGCGGGAGGAAUACCAGUGGCGAAGGCGGCCUUCUGGACUGACACUGACGCUGAGGUGCGAAAGCGUGGGUAGCAAACAGGAUUAGAUACCCUGGUAGUC
This 465-nucleotide ribosomal RNA is filed under the name Vreelandella stevensii. Its description in RNAcentral is "partial 16S ribosomal RNA". It matches the Rfam family "Bacterial small subunit ribosomal RNA", at positions 338 to 795 of the family's 1533-position model. Lineage: Bacteria; Pseudomonadati; Pseudomonadota; Gammaproteobacteria; Oceanospirillales; Halomonadaceae. The record is from RNAcentral.